Molecule: transfer RNA, 85 nt
Filed under: Felis catus (domestic cat)
Lineage: Eukaryota; Metazoa; Chordata; Mammalia; Carnivora; Felidae
Rfam family: tRNA
About the family: Transfer RNA (tRNA) molecules are approximately 80 nucleotides in length. Their secondary structure includes four short double-helical elements and three loops (D, anti-codon, and T loops).
Source: Rfam by way of RNAcentral
GCCUGGGUGGCUCGGUUGGUUGAGCGUCUGACUUCAGCUCAGGUCAUGAUCUCGCGGUUCGUGGGUUCAAGCCCUGCGUCGGGCU